RNAcentral lists this ribosomal RNA (726 nucleotides) under Triticum aestivum (bread wheat). Its description in RNAcentral is "partial small subunit ribosomal RNA". Lineage: Eukaryota; Viridiplantae; Streptophyta; Magnoliopsida; Poales; Poaceae. The record is from RNAcentral.
AUGAAAAUAUUAUCGUGGAACUGCCGGGGCCUUGGGAACGCCCCGGCAGUGCGUGCUCUGCUGGAUGUUUAGCGGAGAUGUGCCCCUGAGGUGGUGUUUUUGUCGGAGACCCACCUUGACAGUUAUCCGACAGAAUGUUUAAGGAGAAGAAUGAAGAUGGACCAGAAACUAGUGUGCACGAGUAAUGGUAGAAGUGGUGGUUUAAUUCUUUUUUGGAAUAAUCAUAUCAAUGUACGUAGGCUUGCCCUAGAUGCUAUGUUCAUUGAUGUAAUAAUUGAGGAUAAUAAUAACAAUCCGGUUUGGCGCUUGACUGGGAUGUACGGUGAGUUUAGAUGGGCGAAUAAACACCUCACCUGGUCACGUAUGCGACAACUUCACCAGAGUCAGAACUUGUCGUGGCUCUUGAUUGGUGAUCUGAAUGAAAUCCAGUUUCUUCAUGAGAAGGAAGGAGGCAAUCCGUGUCCGGCACAAUAUAUGCAGGCUUUCCAAGAAGCAAUUGAUGAUUAUGUGUUACAUGAUAUGGGCUUCCUCGGAGACCCGUUCACAUGGAGACGUGGAAUGAUAAGAGAAAGACUAGACAGAGGUCUGGUGAAUGAUGCAUGGGCGAGCUUGUUUACUAAUGCGGCAUUGCAGAACUUGGAAUUCAAUCACUCUAACCACAGACCUCUUCUAGUGGAUACAGAGUUCUACACACACCAACAGCUGGCCAGAAUAAUGUACAAGUGA